GUGAACGCUAGGCAAUAGAUAUAACACAUGCUAGUUGUUUGUUUACUUAUAAAUUAGGUAAAAAUAGCGCACGGGUGAGUAUAAUAUUUGAACAGAAACGCUGAUAAAAAUAUGUGUGCUUAAUUAUUAUAUUAUACAUGUAUAAAUAAUUUCAAUAUAUUUAUAUAUUUUAUUGUUAUUAUUAAAAGUAUUUAUUACUUUUUGGCGUAAUGGCUUUUUGUAAGAUUAGAUUGUUGUUUUGUUAAUAACCAAACAAGUCUACGAUCUGUAGCUGGUCUGAGAGGAUGUACAGUCACAUUGGGGAUGAGAAAAGAACCCGAGUUCCUAUAUGGAGGCAGCAGUGGGGAAGUAUUGGACAAUGAGCGCAAGCUUGAUCCAGUAAUAUUGCGUGAGUGAUCUAGAAGGUUAAUUAUUGUAAAACUCUUUUAUAGUUGAUUAUAAUGAAGUUAAACUAUGAAUAAG
This 462-nucleotide ribosomal RNA is filed under the name uncultured bacterium. RNAcentral describes it as "partial 16S ribosomal RNA". It matches the Rfam family "Bacterial small subunit ribosomal RNA", at positions 29 to 490 of the family's 1533-position model. The record is from RNAcentral.